GGGUUGUGAGGUUAAGCGACUAAGCGUACACGGUGGAUGCCCUGGCAGUCAGAGGCGAUGAAGGGCGUGCUAAUCUGCGAUAAGCGCCGGUAAGGUGAUAUGAACCGUUAUAACCGGCGAUACCCGAAUGGGGAAACCCAGUGUGAUUCGUCACACUAUCAUUAACUGAAUCCAUAGGUUAAUGAGGCGAACCGGGGGAACUGAAACAUCUAAGUACCCCGAGGAAAAGAAAUCAACCGAGAUUCCCCCAGUAGCGGCGAGCGAACGGGGAGGAGCCCAGAGCCUGAAUCAGCAUGUGUGUUAGUGGAAGCGUCUGGAAAGGCGCGCGAUACAGGGUGACAGCCCCGUACACAAAAGCGCAUGUGCUGUGAGCUCGAUGAGUAGGGCGGGACACGUGGUAUCCUGUCUGAAUAUGGGGGGACCAUCCUCCAAGGCUAAAUACUCCUGACUGACCGAUAGUGAACCAGUACCGUGAGGGAAAGGCGAAAAGAACCCCGGCGAGGGGAGUGAAAAAGAACCUGAAACCGUGUACGUACAAGCAGUGGGAGCCCCACCACUAAGCCAGUGGUGAACUCCACAUCCGCAUCCUUUGCUGAGGAUACGGUUAACGGAGCGAAAGCGACGUUCAACCGCAAAACAAGCAGAGGGGGCUUAGUGGUGGGGUGACUGCGUACCUUUUGUAUAAUGGGUCAGCGACUUAUAUUCUGUAGCAAGGUUAACCGAAUAGGGGAGCCGGAGGGAAACCGAGUCUUAAUUGGGCGUUAAGUUGCAGGGUAUAGACCCGAAACCCGGUGAUCUAGCCAUGGGCAGGUUGAAGGUUGGGUAACACUAACUGGAGGACCGAACCGACUAAUGUUGAAAAAUUAGCGGAUGACCUGUGGCUGGGGGUGAAAGGCCAAUCAAACCGGGAGAUAGCUGGUUCUCCCCGAAAGCUAUUUAGGUAGCGCCUCGUGAAUUCAUCUCCGGGGGUAGAGCACUGUUUCGGCUAGGGGGCCAUCCCGGCUUACCAACCCGAUGCAAACUGCGAAUACCGGAGAAUGUUAUCACGGGAGACACACGGCGGGUGCUAACGUCCGUCGUGAAGAGGGAAACAACCCAGACCGCCAGCUAAGGUCCCAAAGUCAUGGUUAAGUGGGAAACGAUGUGGGAAGGCCCAGACAGCCAGGAUGUUGGCUUAGAAGCAGCCAUCAUUUAAAGAAAGCGUAAUAGCUCACUGGUCGAGUCGGCCUGCGCGGAAGAUGUAACGGGGCUAAACCAUGCACCGAAGCUGCGGCAGCGAACGUAUCACUUAAAGCGAUUCAGCGGGUUACGAUUGACGGAGCGAAGCGACGUCAAAGCGUAUACAAAGUCGAGUCGGUUUAAGGAUACGUUCGUUGGGUAGGAGCGUUCUGUAAGCCCGUGAAGGUGGCCUGUGAGGGUUGCUGGAGGUAUCAGAAGUGCGAAUGCUGACAUAAGUAACGAUAAAGCGGGUGAAAAGCCCGCUCGCCGGAAGACCAAGGGUUCCUGUCCAACGUUAAUCGGGGCAGGGUGAGUCGACCUAAGGCGAGGCCGAAAGGCGUAGUCGAUGGGAAACGGGUUAAUAUUCCCGUACUUGGUGUUACUGCGAAGGGGACGGAGAAGGCUAUGUUGGCCGGGCGACGGUUGUCCCGGUUUAAGCGUGUAGGUGUGUGUUCGGGUAAAUCCGGUUCACUUUAACACUGAGGCGUGAUGACGAGGCACUACGGUGCUGAAGCAACAAAUGCCCUGCUUCCAGGAAAAGCCUCUAAGCAUCAGGUAACAUCAAAUCGUACCCCAAACCGACACAGGUGGUCAGGUAGAGAAUACCAAGGCGCUUGAGAGAACUCGGGUGAAGGAACUAGGCAAAAUGGUGCCGUAACUUCGGGAGAAGGCACGCUGACACGUAGGUGAAGUGAUUUACUCACGGAGCUGAAGUCAGUCGAAGAUACCAGCUGGCUGCAACUGUUUAUUAAAACACAGCACUGUGCAAACACGAAAGUGGACGUAUACGGUGUGACGCCUGCCCGGUGCCGGAAGGUUAAUUGAUGGGGUCAGCGCAAGCGAAGCUCCUGAUCGAAGCCCCGGUAAACGGCGGCCGUAACUAUAACGGUCCUAAGGUAGCGAAAUUCCUUGUCGGGUAAGUUCCGACCUGCACGAAUGGCGUAAUGAUGGCCAGGCUGUCUCCACCCGAGACUCAGUGAAAUUGAACUCGCUGUGAAGAUGCAGUGUACCCGCGGCAAGACGGAAAGACCCCGUGAACCUUUACUAUAGCUUGACACUGAACAUUGAGCCUUGAUGUGUAGGAUAGGUGGGAGGCUUUGAAGUGUGGACGCCAGUCUGCAUGGAGCCGACCUUGAAAUACCACCCUUUAAUGUUUGAUGUUCUAACGUGGACCCGUAAUCCGGGUUGCGGACAGUGUCUGGUGGGUAGUUUGACUGGGGCGGUCUCCUCCUAAAGAGUAACGGAGGAGCACGAAGGUUGGCUAAUCUGGUCGGACAUCAGGAGGUUAGUGCAAUGGCAUAAGCCAGCUUGACUGCGAGCGUGACGGCGCGAGCAGGUGCGAAAGCAGGUCAUAGUGAUCCGGUGGUUCUGAAUGGAAGGGCCAUCGCUCAACGGAUAAAAGGUACUCCGGGGAUAACAGGCUGAUACCGCCCAAGAGUUCAUAUCGACGGCGGUGUUUGGCACCUCGAUGUCGGCUCAUCACAUCACGGGGCUGAAGUAGGUCCCAAGGGUAUGGCUGUUCGCCAUUUAAAGUGGUACGCGAGCUGGGUUUAGAACGUCGUGAGACAGUUCGGUCCCUAUCUGCCGUGGGCGCUGGAGAACUGAGGGGGGCUGCUCCUAGUACGAGAGGACCGGAGUGGACGCAUCACUGGUGUUCGGGUUGUCAUGCCAAUGGCACUGCCCGGUAGCUAAAUGCGGAAGAGAUAAGUGCUGAAAGCAUCUAAGCACGAAACUUGCCCCGAGAUGAGUUCUCCCUGAGACUUAGAGUCUCCUGAAGGAACGUUGAAGACGACGACGUUGAUAGGCCGGGUGUGUAAGCGCAGCGAUGCGUUGAGCUAACCGGUACUAAUGAACCGUGAGGCUUAACCUUACAACGCCGAAG
RNAcentral lists this ribosomal RNA (3100 nucleotides) under Salmonella enterica. RNAcentral's name for it is "23S ribosomal RNA". It matches the Rfam family "Bacterial large subunit ribosomal RNA". The record is from RNAcentral. Lineage: Bacteria; Pseudomonadati; Pseudomonadota; Gammaproteobacteria; Enterobacterales; Enterobacteriaceae.